This 81-nucleotide small nucleolar RNA is filed under the name Ananas comosus (pineapple). RNAcentral's name for it is "Small nucleolar RNA U83". It matches the Rfam family "Small nucleolar RNA U83". Lineage: Eukaryota; Viridiplantae; Streptophyta; Magnoliopsida; Poales; Bromeliaceae. The record is from Rfam by way of RNAcentral.
GGCCUAUGAUGAAUUUUGUGGAAUAAAUUGUUUCUGAAACAAAGUGAUUACAAAUCAUACAACUGCCUUCCUUCUGAGGCC